GGAAUAUCAAAAACUGUCUAUUAACUCUUAGUUAAAAAUGCUAAGAACCGAUUCUUAAAUAAGAUAUUUAAAAGUCGGUUUUUAGCAUUUUUAGUUAAAAGUAAAGAGACAGUUUCUUAUAUUCU
Molecule: non-coding RNA, 125 nt
Organism: Brassica napus (rape)
Lineage: Eukaryota; Viridiplantae; Streptophyta; Magnoliopsida; Brassicales; Brassicaceae
Source: Rfam